RNAcentral lists this ribosomal RNA (375 nucleotides) under uncultured organism. RNAcentral describes it as "partial 16S ribosomal RNA". It matches the Rfam family "Bacterial small subunit ribosomal RNA", at positions 527 to 896 of the family's 1533-position model. The record is from RNAcentral.
GUAGGUGGCAAGCGUUGUCCGGGAAUUAUUGGGGCGUUAAAGCGCGCGCAGGCGGUUCUUUAAGUCUGAUGUGAAAGCCCACGGGCUCAACCGUGGAGGGUCAUUGGAAACUGGAGAACUUGAGUACAGAAGAGGAAAGCGGAAUUCCACGUGUAGCGGUGAAAUGCGUAGAGAUGUGGAGGAACACCAGUGGCGAAGGCGGCUUUCUGGUCUGUAACUGACGCUGAGGCGCGAAAGCGUGGGGAGCAAACAGGAUUAGAUACCCUGGUAGUCCACGCCGUAAACGAUGAGUGCUAAGUGUUAGGGGGUUUCCGCCCCUUAGUGCUGCAGCUAACGCAUUAAGCACUCCGCCUGGGGAGUACGGCCGCAAGGCUG